UACGUAGGGUGCGAGCGUUGUCCGGAAUUAUUGGGCGUAAAGAGCUCGUAGGCGGCCUGUCGCGUCGGAUGUGAAAGCCCGGGGCUUAACCCCGGGUCUGCAUUCGAUACGGGCAGGCUGGAGUGUGGUAGGGGAGAUCGGAAUUCCUGGUGUAGCGGUGAAAUGCGCAGAUAUCAGGAGGAACACCGGUGGCGAAGGCGGAUCUCUGAGCCAUUACUGACGCUGAGGAGCGAAAGCGUGGGGAGCGAACAGG
This 253-nucleotide ribosomal RNA is filed under the name uncultured bacterium. RNAcentral's name for it is "partial 16S ribosomal RNA". It matches the Rfam family "Bacterial small subunit ribosomal RNA", at positions 524 to 776 of the family's 1533-position model. The record is from RNAcentral.